This 254-nucleotide ribosomal RNA is filed under the name uncultured bacterium. RNAcentral describes it as "partial 16S ribosomal RNA". It matches the Rfam family "Bacterial small subunit ribosomal RNA", at positions 793 to 1055 of the family's 1533-position model. The record is from RNAcentral.
GUCCACGCCGUAAACGAUGGAUACUAGCUGUUGGGCGCAAGCUCAGUGGCUAAGCGAAAGUGAUAAGUAUCCCACCUGGGGAGUACGGGCGCAAGCCUGAAACUCAAAGGAAUUGACGGGGCCCGCACAAGCGGUGGAGCAUGUGGUUUAAUUCGAUGAUACGCGAGGAACCUUACCAAGGCUUAAAUGUAGAUUGACAGGACUGGAAACAGUUUUUCCUUCGGGCAAUUUACAAGGUGCUGCAUGGUUGUCGU